GUACACUCCUGCGGGAGGCAGCAGUGGGGAAUAUUGCACAAUGGGCGCAAGCCUGAUGCAGCCAUGCCGCGUGUAUGAAGAAGGCCUUCGGGUUGUAAAGUACUUUCAGCGGGGAGGAAGGCGAUAAGGUUAAUAACCUUGUUGAUUGACGUUACCCGCAGAAGAAGCACCGGCUAACUCCGUGCCAGCAGCCGCGGUAAUACGGAGGGUGCAAGCGUUAAUCGGAAUUACUGGGCGUAAAGCGCACGCAGGCGGUCUGUCAAGUCGGAUGUGAAAUCCCCGGGCUCAACCUGGGAACUGCAUUCGAAACUGGCAGGCUAGAGUCGUGUAGAGGGGGGUAGAAUUCCAGGUGUAGCGGUGAAAUGCGUAGAGAUCUGGAGGAAUACCGGUGGCGAAGGCGGCCCCCUGGACAAAGACUGACGCUCAGGUGCGAAAGCGUGGGGAGCAAACAGGAUUAGAAACCCGAGUAGUCCCAUGA
RNAcentral lists this ribosomal RNA (478 nucleotides) under uncultured organism. RNAcentral describes it as "partial 16S ribosomal RNA". It matches the Rfam family "Bacterial small subunit ribosomal RNA", at positions 331 to 800 of the family's 1533-position model. The record is from RNAcentral.